RNAcentral lists this ribosomal RNA (425 nucleotides) under uncultured bacterium. RNAcentral's name for it is "partial 16S ribosomal RNA". It matches the Rfam family "Bacterial small subunit ribosomal RNA", at positions 354 to 796 of the family's 1533-position model. The record is from RNAcentral.
GUGGGGAAUCUUGCGCAAUGGGCGAAAGCCUGACGCAGCCAUGCCGCGUGAAUGAUGAAGGUCUUAGGAUUGUAAAAUUCUUUCACCGGGGACGAUAAUGACGGUACCCGGAGAAGAAGCUCCGGCUAACUUCGUGCCAGCAGCCGCGGUAAUACGAAGGGGGCUAGCGUUGCUCGGAAUUACUGGGCGUACAGGGCGCGUAGGCGGACAGCUUAGUCAGAGGUGAAAGCCCAGGGCUCAACCUUGGAAUUGCCUUUGAUACUGGCUGUCUUGAGUUUGGGAGAGGUGAGUGGAACUCCGAGUGUAGAGGUGAAAUUCGUAGAUAUUCGGAAGAACACCAGUGGCGAAGGCGACUCACUGGCCCAAUACUGACGCUGAGGCGCGAAAGCGUGGGGAGCAAACAGGAUUAGAAACCCCAGUAGUCC